UGUUGGUCUAUUUCAAGGGUAAAACGAAUGACUCAUUAUCCAGUAGCAGGUUUCUGAGACUAUGCAUUAAUUGAAGAGCUCAGAUCAAAUUGUAUAAAUUACUAGCUUGGAAUCUUUGCUAGAACACACUGAAUGAAGCAUUAUAUCAAUCCUCUUGCAUUUUCCUUUGACCAUGCUACAUUAUGUUGUAAUUGUCAUAGGGAUUAUUGAGGAUGUGUGGCUUUCAAAGACCACAAGGUGGGGCAAGAUAAUAUCCAACUGAAUAUGUUCCAUAAGCUUUAUGUCAGUGUUAACAUAGGAAUCUGUCUCUAUGUGCAUGCACACAUUUGUAGUUUAGCACUUUCUUUGUGAUCAUAGGUUAAAACCAUAACCUCAGUCGCCAGCUUGUAGCUGAUGAAGCCCACUCAGGCUGCUCCCACAGGGACUGUGGAUGGCAUCACAAAGUUAUCUCAUCUUUACACCCACUCCUUGGAGAAAGGCUAAACCUUAGGGGAACUUCCAUAUGGGGAACUUUGGAGAAGGCUGCAGCUGUGAGCUGUUGAGGGCUAGCAUUCACAGUAGCUGGGGAAUUUGGUGUACCAAUUUGGUAAAGUGGAUGGGUGGACAAAGGACCAACAACAUCCCUACAUUUUGCCAUCUUAAUAUCUACAAAUGUGCAAUGAACCUUACAGAAAUGAUAAUUGGGUAUGCAAACUGCUAAUUUUUCCUCCAUCUGCACACUAAAUUUAAGCCUAUAACUUUAACAGUCUUGUGUGUAUGUUUUCACUUAAAACACCACUGUAUUUUUGGUGAAG
This 794-nucleotide long non-coding RNA is filed under the name Marmota monax (woodchuck). The record is from RNAcentral. Lineage: Eukaryota; Metazoa; Chordata; Mammalia; Rodentia; Sciuridae.